AAAUAGUAGAGACUCGAGACCGUACCUGACCGGCGNGAUCUUUAAGACUGAGCCUCUAAAACUCUCAGAUAUCUGAACUGUGAGGACGGGCCAGUGUAUUACCCUUAUCCUGGCUGGGUAAUAUAUGCAGCUACUGCAGUGUUUACCUACAUAAUGUCUUCGGACCAUAGGUGUCAUUCCUCCUGGCGAGGGGCCUGCGUCCUAUUAGCUUGUUGGUGGGGAAACGGCCUACCAAGGCAACGAUGGGUGGCGGGUGUGAGAGCAUGACCCGCGUCAUUGGGACUGAGACACUGCCCAGACACCUACGGGUGGGUGCGGUCGAGAAUCUUCGGCAAUGGGCGAAAGCCUGACCGAGCGACGCCGCGUGCGGGAUGAAGGCCCUCGGAUUGUAAACCGCUGUCGUAAAGCAAGGAGGUGCAGGGGGGGUUCUCCCCUUUGCUUGACCUAUUCUAGGAGGAAGUACGGGCUAAGUUCGUGCCAGCUGCCCGCGGUAGACGAAACCGUACAAACGUACCUCGAAAUUACUGGGGAUUAAAGGAUGCAUAGGCUGCCCGAAAAAUUGAGUUGCAAAACCCUCGGGCUAACCGAGGGAAUUGCAUCCAACAUUACCGUGCUCGAGGGGGGAAUAAGGUAAGCGGAACUACGGGGGGAGAGGAGAAAUCGUUGAAUUUUUGAGGGAACCCCGGUGG
This 689-nucleotide ribosomal RNA is filed under the name uncultured Planctomycetota bacterium. RNAcentral describes it as "bacterial SSU rRNA". It matches the Rfam family "Bacterial small subunit ribosomal RNA", at positions 63 to 715 of the family's 1533-position model. The record is from RNAcentral. Lineage: Bacteria; Pseudomonadati; Planctomycetota.